UCAAACAAGCUGGGGUGCCAUAAAGCUGGCUGAGAUAAUACCCAUAGAACCUGAGCAAGGUAAUGUUGCUAGGGAGCUUGGUUUGUUUACCA
Molecule: non-coding RNA, 92 nt
Filed under: Weissella paramesenteroides
Lineage: Bacteria; Bacillati; Bacillota; Bacilli; Lactobacillales; Lactobacillaceae
Also listed under: 1 other name
Description: TPP sequence
Rfam family: TPP riboswitch aptamer (THI element)
About the family: Vitamin B(1) in its active form thiamin pyrophosphate (TPP) is an essential coenzyme that is synthesised by coupling of pyrimidine and thiazole moieties in bacteria.
Source: RNAcentral